AUACGGAGGAUCCGAGCGUUAUCCGGAUUUAUUGGGUUUAAAGGGAGCGUAGGCGGACGCUUAAGUCAGUUGUGAAAGUUUGCGGCUCAACCGUAAAAUUGCAGUUGAUACUGGGUGUCUUGAGUACAGUAGAGGCAGGCGGAAUUCGUGGGGUAGCGGUGAAAUGCUUAGAUAUCACGAAGAAAUCCGAUUGCGAAGGCAGCCUGCUGGACUGUAACUGACGCUGAUGCUCGAAAGUGUGGGUAUCAAACAGGAUUAGAUACCCUGGUAGUCCACACAGUAAACGAUGAAUACUCGCUGUUUGCGAUAUACAGUAAGCGGCCAAGCGAAAGCGUUAAGUAUUCCACCUGGGGAGUACGCCGGCAACGGUGAAACUCAAAGGAAUUGACGGGG
Molecule: ribosomal RNA, 393 nt
Filed under: uncultured bacterium
Lineage: Bacteria
Description: partial 16S ribosomal RNA
Rfam family: Bacterial small subunit ribosomal RNA
Source: RNAcentral